RNAcentral lists this ribosomal RNA (1346 nucleotides) under uncultured bacterium. Its description in RNAcentral is "partial 16S ribosomal RNA". It matches the Rfam family "Bacterial small subunit ribosomal RNA", at positions 28 to 1381 of the family's 1533-position model. The record is from RNAcentral.
GACGAACGCUGGCGGCGUGCUUAACACAUGCAAGUCGAACGGAAAGGCCCUGCUUUUGUGGGGUGCUCGAGUGGCGAACGGGUGAGUAACACGUGAGUAACCUGCCCUUGACUUUGGGAUAACUUCAGGAAACUGGGACUAAUACCGGAUAGGAGCUCCUGCUGCAUGGUGGGGGUUGGAAAGUUUCGGCGGCUGGGGAUGGACUCGCGGCUUAUCAGCUUGUUGGUGGGGUAGUGGCUUACCAAGGCUUUGACGGGUAGCCGGCCUGAGAGGGUGACCGGCCACAUUGGGACUGAGAUACGGCCCAGACUCCUACGGGAGGCAGCAGUGGGGAAUAUUGCACAAUGGGCGGAAGCCUGAUGCAGCAACGCCGCGUGCGGGAUGACGGCCUUCGGGUUGUAAACCGCUUUCGCCUGUGACGAAGCGUGAGUGACGGUAAUGGGUAAAGAAGCACCGGCUAACUACGUGCCAGCAGCCGCGGUGAUACGUAGGGUGCGAGCGUUGUCCGGAUUUAUUGGGCGUAAAGGGCUCGUAGGUGGUUGAUCGCGUCGGAAGUGUAAUCUUGGGGCUUAACCCUGAGCGUGCUUUCGAUACGGGUUGACUUGAGGAAGGUAGGGGAGAAUGGAAUUCCUGGUGGAGCGGUGGAAUGCGCAGAUAUCAGGAGGAACACCAGUGGCGAAGGCGGUUCUCUGGGCCUUUCCUGACGCUGAGGAGCGAAAGCGUGGGGAGCGAACAGGCUUAGAUACCCUGGUAGUCCACGCUGUAAACGGUGGGUACUAGGUGUGGGGUCCAUUCCACGGGUUCCGUGCCGUAGCAAACGCUUUAAGUACCCCGCCUGGGGAGUACGGCCGCAAGGCUAAAACUCAAAGGAAUUGACGGGGCCCCGCACAAGCGGCGGAGCAUGCGGAUUAAUUCGAUGCAACGCGUAGAACCUUACCUGGGUUUGACAUGGAUCGGGAGUGCUCAGAGAUGGGUGUGCCUCUUUUGGGGUCGGUUCACAGGUGGUGCAUGGCUGUCGUCAGCUCGUGUCGUGAGAUGUUGGGUUAAGUCCCGCAACGAGCGCAACCCUUGUUCACUGUUGCCAGCACGUUAUGGUGGGGACUCAGUGGAGACCGCCGGUGUCAACUCGGAGGAAGGUGGGGAUGACGUCAAGUCAUCGUGCCCCUUAUGUCCAGGGCUUCACGCAUGCUACAAUGGCUGGUACAGAGAGUGGCGAGCCUGUGAGGGUGAGCGAAUCUCGGAAAGCCGGUCUCAGUUCGGAUUGGGGUCUGCAACUCGACCUCAUGAAGUCGGAGUCGCUAGUAAUCGCAGAUCAGCAACGCUGCGGUGAAUACGUUCCCGGGGCU